GAAGGAUCAUUACCGAGUGCGGGUCCUUCGGGGCCCAACCUCCCACCCGUGUCUACCGUACCGUGUUGCUUCGGCGGGCCCGCCGCAAGGCCGCCGGGGGGGCGUCCCCCCGGCCCGUGCCCGCCGGAGACCCUGUGAACGCUGAUCCGUGAAGGCGUGUCGUCUGAGUCGCGUGAGAAAUCGUGAAAACUUUCAACAACGGAUCUCUUGGUUCCGGCAUCGAUGAAGAACGCAGCGAAAUGCGAUAAGUAAUGUGAAUUGCAGAAUUCCGUGAAUCAUCGAAUCUUUGAACGCACAUUGCGCCCUCUGGUAUUCCGGGGGGCAUGCCUGUCCGAGCGUCAUUGCUGCCCUCAAGCACGGCUUGUGUGUUGGGCCGCCGUCCCCGCCCUCCGCGGGGGGACGGGCCCGAAAGGCAGCGGCGGCGCCGCGUCCGGUCCUCGAGCGUAUGGGGCUCUGUCACCCGCUCUGCAGGCCCGGCCGGCGCCCGCCGAGUCAACCACUUCUUUCCAGGUUGACCUCGGAUCAGGUAGGGAUACCCGCUGAACUUA
Molecule: ribosomal RNA, 548 nt
Filed under: Thermoascus crustaceus
Lineage: Eukaryota; Fungi; Ascomycota; Eurotiomycetes; Eurotiales; Thermoascaceae
Description: eukaryotic LSU rRNA
Rfam family: 5.8S ribosomal RNA (bases 188-341)
Source: RNAcentral